Molecule: transfer RNA, 76 nt
Filed under: Bacillota bacterium
Lineage: Bacteria; Bacillati; Bacillota
Description: Firmicutes bacterium (anaerobic digester metagenome) tRNA-Arg
Rfam family: tRNA
About the family: Transfer RNA (tRNA) molecules are approximately 80 nucleotides in length.
Source: RNAcentral
GCGCCUGUAGCUCAGCGGAUAGAGCAGCUGCCUUCUAAGCAGCCGGCCGCAGGUUCGAUCCCUGCCAGGCGCGCCA